Molecule: unclassified non-coding RNA, 464 nt
Filed under: Hevea brasiliensis (rubber tree)
Lineage: Eukaryota; Viridiplantae; Streptophyta; Magnoliopsida; Malpighiales; Euphorbiaceae
Source: RNAcentral
GUUAAUUUCUUCAUUGUCAAUUGGCCUAGUGGUACCAUCUUUCGUGAUUGAUCCAUAAAGGCUGCUGCUUCUCUGACUGAUGCAUUAGCAAUGCCAGCUGAAUAUUUGAGUUGUUUUUGUGCUGGUACAGGGAUUGGAGAUGGUGGACCACUCAUUUCGUCAACAAAGUGUUUGUUAGAGUUACCCGAAGCUGGGGAAGACAAUGCAACUGAAACAGCCUGCUUAAGCUCCUUCUCAACUUCCUUUCUCCUAAUUUCACUCUGCCGCAAUAGACCAAUGAGUUCUUUCAUCUGCUCUUUCAUUUCCUUGAUCUCAAGCUCCUUCUCCCAAAGCUGGCAUCUUGUAUCUGCAAGAGAAUUGAACAUAUAUUGGAGCAAACUUUUUGCAUCCCCCAUCGAGCGUAGUUGGUUCCAACGCCCACGAUUGCUAAAAGCACGCUCUCGUUCUUCUGCUUCUGAAAGUUG